RNAcentral lists this unclassified non-coding RNA (187 nucleotides) under Citrobacter koseri. Its description in RNAcentral is "STnc100". The stretch from base 16 to 155 matches the Rfam family "Gammaproteobacterial sRNA STnc100", at positions 16 to 155 of the family's 206-position model. Lineage: Bacteria; Pseudomonadati; Pseudomonadota; Gammaproteobacteria; Enterobacterales; Enterobacteriaceae. The record is from RNAcentral.
GAAGCUACAGGCUACGUUAGCAUAAUGCCGCUGCUGUGAAUCCACCUAUGCGGAUGGGCGUACAGCCUGACAAUCUCUGAUGAGAUCGUAAACGAGAUCGCGGACUCUUUGGCUGGAGAGUUCACCGGGAGGCACCCGGCACAGCAGCAACCAAUUACAAACCUCGCCAUCAAUUAAUCAUAAGCGG